This 355-nucleotide long non-coding RNA is filed under the name Pan troglodytes (chimpanzee). RNAcentral describes it as "long non-coding RNA NONPTRT005130". The record is from RNAcentral. Lineage: Eukaryota; Metazoa; Chordata; Mammalia; Primates; Hominidae.
UUUUUCAGGCUUGCCUUGGUGGGUGUGGUGGGCAGACUAAGUUCCAAAGGCGGAGGACAUGAAUGUCAAGUUGGAGGGGGAGCCUUCCGUGCGGAAACCAAAGCAGCGGCCCAGGCCCGAGCCCCUCAUCAUCCCCACCAAGGCGGGCACUUUCAUCGCCCCUCCCGUCUACUCCAACAUCACCCCAUACCAGAGCCACCUGCGCUCUCCUGUGCGCCUAGCUGACCACCCCUCUGAGCGGAGCUUUGAGCUGCCUCCCUACACGCCGCCCCCCAUCCUCAGCCCUGUGCGGGAAGGCUCUGGCCUCUACUUCAAUGCCAUCAUAUCAACCAGCACCAUCCCUGCCCCUCCUCCC